This 938-nucleotide ribosomal RNA is filed under the name uncultured Thermococcales archaeon. RNAcentral's name for it is "bacterial SSU rRNA". It matches the Rfam family "Archaeal small subunit ribosomal RNA", at positions 547 to 1478 of the family's 1478-position model. The record is from RNAcentral. Lineage: Archaea; Methanobacteriati; Methanobacteriota; Thermococci; Thermococcales.
AAAUCCCACGGCUCAACCGUGGGGCUUGCUGGGGAUACUGCGGGCCUUGGGACCGGGAGAGGCGGGGGGUACCCCUGGGGUAGGGGUGAAAUCCUGUAAUCCCAGGGGGACCGCCAGUGGCGAAGGCGCCCCGCUGGAACGGGUCCGACGGUGAGGGACGAAGGCCAGGGGAGCGAACCGGAUUAGAUACCCGGGUAGUCCUGGCUGUAAAGGAUGCGGGCUAAGUGUCGGGCGAGCUCCGAGCUCGCCCGGUGCCGUAGGGAAGCCGUUAAGCCCGCCGCCUGGGGAGUACGGCCGCAAGGCUGAAACUUAAAGGAAUUGGCGGGGGAGCACUACAAGGGGUGGAGCGUGCGGUUUAAUUGGAUUCAACGCCGGGAACCUCACCGGGGGCGACGGCAGGAUGAAGGCCAGGCUGAAGGUCUUGCCGGACACGCCGAGAGGAGGUGCAUGGCCGCCGUCAGCUCGUACCGUGAGGCGUCCACUUAAGUGUGGUAACGAGCGAGACCCGCGCCCCCAGUUGCCAGUCCCUCCCGUUGGGAGGGAGGCACUCUGGGGGGACCGCCGGCGAUAAGCCGGAGGAAGGAGCGGGCGACGGUAGGUCAGUAUGCCCCGAAACCCCCGGGCUACACGCGCGCUACAAUGGGCGGGACAAUGGGAUCCGACCCCGAAAGGGGAAGGAAAUCCCCUAAACCCGCCCUCAGUUCGGAUCGCGGGCUGCAACUCGCCCGCGUGAAGCUGGAAUCCCUAGUACCCGCGUGUCAUCAUCGCGCGGCGAAUACGUCCCUGCUCCUUGCACACACCGCCUGUCACUCCACCCGAGCGGGGUCCGGGUGAGGCUCGGUCUCCCUUCGGGGAGGCCGGGUCGAGCCCGGGCUCCGUGAGGGGGGAGAAGUCGUAACAAGGUAGCCGUAGGGGAACCUACGGCUCGAUCACCUCCU